This 255-nucleotide ribosomal RNA is filed under the name uncultured bacterium. RNAcentral's name for it is "partial 16S ribosomal RNA". It matches the Rfam family "Bacterial small subunit ribosomal RNA", at positions 524 to 776 of the family's 1533-position model. The record is from RNAcentral.
UACAGAGGGGGGCAAGCGUUAUUCGGAAUUAUUGGGCGUAAAGGGCGCGUAGGCGGCCUGGCAAGUGGAAGGUGAAAUCCCUCGGCUUAACCGAGGAACUGCCCUCCAAACUGCUUGGCUUGAGUCCGGGAGAGGUGAGUGGAAUUCCCAGUGUAGCGGUGAAAUGCGUAGAUAUUGGGAGGAACACCAGUGGCGAAGGCGGCUCACUGGACCGGAACUGACGCUGAGGCGCGAAAGCGUGGGGGAGCAAACGGG